GAUGAACGCUGGCGGCGUGCCUAACAUAUGCAAGUCGAGCGAUUCUCUUCGGAGAAGAGCGGCGGACGGGUGAGUAACGCGUGGGUAACCUGCCCUGUACACACGGAUAACAUACCGAAAGGUAUGCUAAUACGAGAUAAUAUGCUUUUAUCGCAUGGUAGAAGUAUCAAAGCUCCGGCGGUACAGGAUGGACCCGCGUCUGAUUAGCUAGUUGGUAAGGUAACGGCUUACCAAGGCGACGAUCAGUAGCCGGCCUGAGAGGGUGAUCGGCCACAUUGGAACUGAGACACGGUCCAAACUACUACGGGAGGCAGCAGUGGGGAAUAUUGCACAAUGGGCGAAAGCCUGAUGCAGCAACGCCGCGUGAGCGAUGAAGGCCUUCGGGUCGUAAAGCUCUGUCCUCAAGGAAGAUAAUGACGGUACUUGAGGAGGAAGCCCCGGCUAACUACGUGCCAGCCGCCGCGGUAA
This 468-nucleotide ribosomal RNA is filed under the name uncultured bacterium. Its description in RNAcentral is "partial 16S ribosomal RNA". It matches the Rfam family "Bacterial small subunit ribosomal RNA", at positions 28 to 523 of the family's 1533-position model. The record is from RNAcentral.